AAUACUAAUAUCAUUGUGUAUAUACUUGUCUCUUCUAUUGGGGAAGCAGGUGAGACCUUACAUUUUAGAUCUUGGCAGCACCAACAAGGCCUACAUUAGUGAGAGUGUUGAAUUGCAUCUCUUCUUAAUUGUUUUGUUUUCGUGGUUUAGAUAAAACGUACGUUAGUAGUGACCUUUGUUUUUCUUUUUUCAGAAAAUACAUAUUGAACCACAACGCUACUAUGAACUUUUUGAGAAACAGGAUUAUAAUUAAGAUAAAAGAAUUAAAAAAGUGUGAAGGAAUUAAAAUUU
This 291-nucleotide small RNA is filed under the name Arabidopsis thaliana (thale cress). RNAcentral describes it as "ATSL291900". The record is from RNAcentral. Lineage: Eukaryota; Viridiplantae; Streptophyta; Magnoliopsida; Brassicales; Brassicaceae.